RNAcentral lists this unclassified non-coding RNA (268 nucleotides) under Hevea brasiliensis (rubber tree). Lineage: Eukaryota; Viridiplantae; Streptophyta; Magnoliopsida; Malpighiales; Euphorbiaceae. The record is from RNAcentral.
AGAACUUGCCGGAGCCGGCCAUGGUGACGACGCCACGGGAACCUUUACGCCAGGAUGCAAGGCGGAUUUGUGAGUGGACGUUGUGAAAAAGAGAGUGAGAAAUGUCGGACUUGGAAGUGGAGAAUCGGAGAGGUGAGAGUUGAGAUGCGAGAGAAGAAGAGACCGCCGCCAUGGCCGAGCAGAGAUAGGGAUUCGCUUGGUUUACUUCGGCAGUCCUCCGCCGCUAGAAGUGACUGAAGAAGGUGUUUUUGUUUGGUGUCAGUUGUGG